UAUAAUAUUUUAACUCUUCGUCUUAUUUAAAUUUUUUUUGCGGUUAAUAUUUUUAUUCUUAUUAGAUGAUAAAACAUGAAUAGUAUUUUAUGUGUGACUAAUUUUUCUAUGUAUUUUUACAAUUUUUUCAAAUAAGACAAGUGGUUAAACGUUGGACAUAAAAAAAC
Molecule: microRNA precursor, 167 nt
Filed under: Oryza brachyantha (malo sina)
Lineage: Eukaryota; Viridiplantae; Streptophyta; Magnoliopsida; Poales; Poaceae
Description: MIR812 microRNA precursor family
Rfam family: MIR812 microRNA precursor family
Source: Rfam by way of RNAcentral